Molecule: unclassified non-coding RNA, 262 nt
Filed under: plant metagenome
Description: partial contains small subunit ribosomal RNA, internal transcribed spacer 1, and 5.8S ribosomal RNA
Source: RNAcentral
UUUCCGUAGGUGAACCUGCGGAAGGAUCAUUAACGUAUCUCUGACGGUGAGGGUGCGCCCCGCUCCAGGACCGAAAGGCCUGUGCAGCGUGCGAGCCCGAUCCGCUCAACCCUUACAAACCCACCGUGCACAUUUGUCGGCGGAGGGCUCGGUCAAACGGGCCCCGAGCCGGACCCACAAACCCCAAGCAUUAAAAGAAUGACUAGCGGACGUUGUGCCGUCUAAACUUUAACAACUUUCAACAACGGAUCUCUUGGCUCUC